Magnolia sinica is the source of this 1919-nucleotide long non-coding RNA. RefSeq lists it as uncharacterized. The transcript has 2 exons. NCBI's taxonomy places the organism in Eukaryota, Viridiplantae, Streptophyta, Magnoliopsida, Magnoliales, Magnoliaceae. The record is from RefSeq and is a predicted model, not a curated record.
UCAAGGGCAUUCACCUCUACGACGGGAUCAAUGGGAAAACUCGACUAUCCGGCUUCAGCCUAUCCCACCCUUCCCAGAGAGAAGAUCUUUUUAGAAUUUAACAAUAGUGUCGCAACUUUCAAUUUCUCCUCCAACCUUACCCCCUUUACCACUACACUAUUAAUCUUAUUAUUUCUCGCCCAAACACUAGCUAUCCUGUGGAAAAGCUUUGUCCUCCUAUUUCUCUCCUUAAGCCAUGUGGCUCUAGAUCACUGCCUCCAUUUGAUUUCCUCUUCUUUUAGGCAAUUUUUUUACUCAAGCGAAAGAGAAUUCUUCUUAGCUUUCUCCUCCUUCAAGAGCUCUAUCCGCUCUUCCUUGAGAUCAAGUGCCCGAAUUUCACUGAGAUUAUCUUCCAAUUCCACAUCCUAGCCUCCAAGUAGCAAGCACCUCCUUUCUCCACCUAUUGAGUUUGCCUCUGGGAAGCUUUAAUCUUUGGAAUAAUACAAAUCUGGGAUGACCUUCCACCACGAAUGAGGUCUGCCACUCCCUCAUCAACUUGGUGAAGCCAUCCAUUUUAAGCCACAAUAACUUAAAUCUAAACGGCCUAAGGCCCCAAUCAUCCUCUUCUACCUCCAACAAAAGCGGGCAAUGGUUAGAAGUAGGACUCAGAAGGCCAUGCUGCCUCACGAGGGGGAACUUGUCCACCCAACACAGGGACACCAAGAACCUCUAUAGCUUUGACCUAACAUUCUUUUCUUGCCCAUUGGACCAAGUAAACCUUACAUCUCCGAUCAGCAAAUCAACGAGCUCAUUCCUUUGCACCAACUCGGAGAAUUCCCUUAUGCUAUGGGUGACGCAACCCCAUAGAUUUUUUGAAGGAGAACCUGAUGACAUUAAAGUCUUCUCCUAUGCCACCACAAAAGCCCCCAUCUCCUACCACCAGCAUUCAACUCUUCCCAUAGAAGACCCCUUUGACUUGGAAUGUUCGGGCCAUACACUAUUGUGAAAACCCACCGAAACCCCAAGGCCACAUCCUUGAAAAGGACCGAGACAAAGAACUAGCUGCACCACCAACCAUCCCUCACCCAGACAUUGGUGUUCCAGAUCACUGGCAUACCACACCUUUCACAUCGACAACAUUCAACACCACCCAAAUAUUUCAUUCUCACACCCCAUAGAUCGUCAACAAUCUUCUGAUUCAUGGGAUGCAUCUUAGCCUCUUACAACGUAACGAUGUGUGCCUUAUAAUGCCUGCACACAUCCCUAAUUUGUGCUAUUUUCUGAGGGUAGCCUAACCCCCUUAUAUUCCAUCUUAUAAUCUUCACCAACCACCCUCUCUUCUCUCUCUCCUUUUCCUCACUUCUAGAUGUGGAUCCUACCUUGUAGUUAAUUGACUGACAAGGCCUUUCAGGUCCCUGCUCCCUUUUGUUACCUUGAGACUUUCGGUCUGUUUGGAAGCCCGGGCCUUCUAGUAACCCCUCUCUUCAACGAACUUUAACAGAGCUAAAUAAUCUUCCUCACAAUCCCCAAAUGUCACCCCAAUCAGCCUCCCACAUGCCCCACUGCAUCCCUUACCCAGCGCAUACCUUUUGCCAUUGGAAUGUCACUCCCCUCCCUCUGGUUCAGAAGCCAUAUGUUUCACCUAUUGAAUGAGAUGUGGGAGCUUUUACUUCAAUCCUGUAAGCAUUUCAUAUUCUCCCUAUCCAUUAUGAGAAAAAUGAUAUUGUUUUUUGUAAGGUUAAAUGGUUAUGCUAAGGAGGGAUGAGAAGGGUAUGCAAACUUCUACAGUUACCGACGGGGAUUUGUAAAGCUAACAUGAAAUUGAUGGGUUGCUGUUAUGAUGAUGGUGAUGCUAAUGACCAUAGAGUUCCCAUGAGCACUUUGGGCACACAUCUGAAUUAUUUUCUCCUUUUUGGGUGGGGAAUUGCUUCUUUUUUCUU